UUAAUUGAUGCAGGUCAGUUUCCCCCUCCUUUACUCCCGGUCCAGCGCCCGUUAUCGGGCGACAUUGAUCCCGAUCAAUAUUCUCUCCUGCCUGUUUGGAUAACUUAAUCCCAUCGCAACAAGGCAACUGCAGGAGACGCGUCAUGUUUUUCGACAACGUGGUGAUCGCCGGAGUGCUGACCGUCAGCCUCAUGUUGGUGUUCUUUGCAGGAUUCGGAUUUUUUAUCUGGAAGGACUCGCACAAGCGGAAAAAACCGUAAGUCUUUCUCGAUGUAAUGAGCACGCAAGGCAUUUUGGGCAACUUCGGUUGCCCUUU
Molecule: unclassified non-coding RNA, 316 nt
Filed under: Pseudomonas mohnii
Lineage: Bacteria; Pseudomonadati; Pseudomonadota; Gammaproteobacteria; Pseudomonadales; Pseudomonadaceae
Description: Pseudomonas sRNA P20
Rfam family: PhrS (bases 105-316)
Source: RNAcentral